This 1040-nucleotide ribosomal RNA is filed under the name Escherichia coli. RNAcentral describes it as "partial 23S ribosomal RNA". It matches the Rfam family "Bacterial large subunit ribosomal RNA", at positions 418 to 1457 of the family's 2925-position model. Lineage: Bacteria; Pseudomonadati; Pseudomonadota; Gammaproteobacteria; Enterobacterales; Enterobacteriaceae. The record is from RNAcentral.
CGGGACACGUGGUAUCCUGUCUGAAUAUGGGGGGACCAUCCUCCAAGGCUAAAUACUCCUGACUGACCGAUAGUGAACCAGUACCGUGAGGGAAAGGCGAAAAGAACCCCGGCGAGGGGAGUGAAAAAGAACCUGAAACCGUGUACGUACAAGCAGUGGGAGCACGCUUAGGCGUGUGACUGCGUACCUUUUGUAUAAUGGGUCAGCGACUUAUAUUCUGUAGCAAGGUUAACCGAAUAGGGGAGCCGAAGGGAAACCGAGUCUUAACUGGGCGUUAAGUUGCAGGGUAUAGACCCGAAACCCGGUGAUCUAGCCAUGGGCAGGUUGAAGGUUGGGUAACACUAACUGGAGGACCGAACCGACUAAUGUUGAAAAAUUAGCGGAUGACUUGUGGCUGGGGGUGAAAGGCCAAUCAAACCGGGAGAUAGCUGGUUCUCCCCGAAAGCUAUUUAGGUAGCGCCUCGUGAAUUCAUCUCCGGGGGUAGAGCACUGUUUCGGCAAGGGGGUCAUCCCGACUUACCAACCCGAUGCAAACUGCGAAUACCGGAGAAUGUUAUCACGGGAGACACACGGCGGGUGCUAACGUCCGUCGUGAAGAGGGAAACAACCCAGACCGCCAGCUAAGGUCCCAAAGUCAUGGUUAAGUGGGAAACGAUGUGGGAAGGCCCAGACAGCCAGGAUGUUGGCUUAGAAGCAGCCAUCAUUUAAAGAAAGCGUAAUAGCUCACUGGUCGAGUCGGCCUGCGCGGAAGAUGUAACGGGGCUAAACCAUGCACCGAAGCUGCGGCAGCGACGCUGAUGCGUUGUUGGGUAGGGGAGCGUUCUGUAAGCCUGCGAAGGUGUGCUGUGAGGCAUGCUGGAGGUAUCAGAAGUGCGAAUGCUGACAUAAGUAACGAUAAAGCGGGUGAAAAGCCCGCUCGCCGGAAGACCAAGGGUUCCUGUCCAACGUUAAUCGGGGCAGGGUGAGUCGACCCCUAAGGCGAGGCCGAAAGGCGUAGUCGAUGGGAAACAGGUUAAUAUUCCUGUACUUGGUGUUACUGC